CCCAUAGAGAAUGAUAAAGGCCUCUAGUGGCCAAAAGGCUAUUUUUGCAUGGGCAAUACCACUGCCGGCUGCCAUUAUUUUAAUCAAGUCAACUGGGUGGGACAUCCAACUUCAUUGGCUAAUCCCUCCUGGUAGCCUUGUUGGAGUCAUGUGCAACUGGGUCAUCAGGAGGAAUCAGCCAAUCGUGAAGAAGAAAAUAUACUACUUCAAAAUGGAGUUAGCCUUAAUGGCGCUGCUCAUGCUGUUACAGACGCCAUAAUGGCACGGAUACAAUGAUGAGGCCUCUUUCCAUCUCUAUGGUUGGGACAGUUACUGAAAGACAACAUUUGUUUGCAACUUUGCCAGGACGAGAAAUUGUGUUCCUGCGUUUGCACAAUGUCAUGUUGAAGUGGAAAAAAAGUUAAAUAUUAUAAAAACAUUUGUGGAAGCAUGCAUGUCAAAUAUGGUUAAUUGGCCUACUCAACAAUGUCAACAGACUACACACUGUGGAAACCAAAAAAAGAGUGGAAUCCAGAACCAGUUUUCUGUCUACUACUAUCCAGUCUGGCCAAAAUGGACAAGUACUGAACACAAAAUGUGGUGUAAAGAGAAGAGGUGUAGCUAUACAGAAGAUACUGUAUAUAGAGCUGCAUUGUGGUCAGCCAUCAUUGGACAGGAACGUAGAAGGUUCAAGGCCUGGAAGGUGAUGAGGAGCAGCGUCAUGGCCUGUCUGUGCAGCACAACAGUUGGACAGUAAUACUCUUGGGACACGGGCUAGAAAGAUAAGGUUCGGUGGUGGCAUGAACUGCAGAUGAUGCAGACCAGAUACUGACAGAGGAUUAGUGUGGAAUGAAUGACGAGGCAUCUGCUAUAGCCUGAACUUGGCCGAGGAUGAGUGAAGAGGAGAAGGAGUCACUUGAAGUGGACGACUCCCUCAUUCUUUUUGGAUCAGAUUCAAGAUUACAGACUCACAGAAUUGUUUCGAUUAUUUCAAUAUUCUUUUUGGGUGCAAAGCACAAUUUAUGUCUUCAAAGCAUUAUAUAUGAUCACAUAAUAAUGCAUUAGCCUAUACAGUACCUGUUGGCCUUAUUUUAAGUGUUACCAAAUAAUCUAUUCAGUUAGGCCUGAAGCUAACAAUAUGUGAAAAAAGCAGAGUAUGUACUAAAUCAGAGAUGGGCAGCUCCAGUCCUCGGGGGCUUGACUGGUGUCACACUUUUACCCCAGCCCCAGCUAACACAUCUGACUCCAAUAAUCAACUAAUCAUGAUCUUUAGUUUAGAAUGUAAUUAGUUUCAUCAGCUGUUUUGAUUAGGUAUGUGUAAAAAGUGUGACACCAUUCCCGCCCCCGAGGACUGAAGUUGCCCAUACCUGUGCUAAAUGCAAACUUUAUUUUUAAUCAGAAAAAUGUCACCUAGGAACACUUUGCAUCAAGUGGAGUUGUGGUUAGUUACAAUGUGGUUGGGAACAAAAGGUGCAGCAGUACAAUGAAGAAGUUGGGCUUAAGUGGCCAGUGAUAGCUGAGCCUCUAUCAGUCAUAAUAGUCCCAAAUCCCUGCGCCCCACAGUAUACAUCACUUCUUAUGAGAACCAGGAACUAAAGCCACGUUGGCCCAUUUUUAAAGGCUGUGAGAAAUGGGAGCUUCUUUCAAAACCGUCCAUUUCAGAUGUCUUGGGUGGGACACACUGACGUGUUCUCUCUAUUGAUGGAGAAGCUUAUCUAGAUCUAUCUUCCCUGUGGGGCAAGCUGCCAACAGUUUUCUAAAGCCAUGAAAAUAUACUUUACUGAAUAGCAAGCAACCUCAGUGUGUGAAGAAAAUCAAAGUUGUGACAAUGCAUUUCAAGUUGGCCUCAAUAAAUGGAC
RNAcentral lists this long non-coding RNA (1838 nucleotides) under Salmo salar (Atlantic salmon). RNAcentral's name for it is "lncRNA (ENSSSAG00000099587.1)". Lineage: Eukaryota; Metazoa; Chordata; Actinopteri; Salmoniformes; Salmonidae. The record is from RNAcentral.